This is a long non-coding RNA of Cyprinus carpio carpio, 217 nucleotides long. The record is from Ensembl. Lineage: Eukaryota; Metazoa; Chordata; Actinopteri; Cypriniformes; Cyprinidae.
GUAUGCAGGAGCUAAACCAUUAAGGGCCUUAUAAGUGAGAACUCACAGGACACCUGAUUCUGUAUGAGAAAUCUGCAUCUAAGCCUGUGUUACAGUAUCUGUCCAACAUGAGAAAACACAGAGCGCUGAUGUGUGUGGCCUGCAGAUUCGAGUCCUCACGUCGGGGCGGGGAUCCAGGACAUCUGCUGAAGCUGACUAGUUCUGGGAGGUCAAAGUG